This 253-nucleotide ribosomal RNA is filed under the name uncultured bacterium. RNAcentral's name for it is "partial 16S ribosomal RNA". It matches the Rfam family "Bacterial small subunit ribosomal RNA", at positions 524 to 776 of the family's 1533-position model. The record is from RNAcentral.
UACGGAGGGUGCAAGCGUUGCUCGGAAUUACUGGGCGUAAAGCGCACGUAGGCGGGUCGUUAAGUCAGGGGUGAAAUCCCAGAGCUCAACUCUGGAACUGCCUUUGAUACUGGCGACCUAGAGUUCGGAAGAGGUUAGUGGAAUUCCCAGUGUAGAGGUGAAAUUCGUAGAUAUUGGGAAGAACACCAGUGGCGAAGGCGGCUAACUGGUCCGAUACUGACGCUGAGGUGCGAAAGCGUGGGGAGCAAACAGG